Rhinolophus ferrumequinum (greater horseshoe bat) is the source of this 775-nucleotide long non-coding RNA. RefSeq lists it as uncharacterized. The transcript has 5 exons. The record is from RefSeq and is a predicted model, not a curated record. Lineage: Eukaryota; Metazoa; Chordata; Mammalia; Chiroptera; Rhinolophidae.
CUUAGGUCAAAAGUGCUACCUGUUUAGGAUGGUGGGGAUGAAAGGACCAGACACCAAGGAGGAUGGAAAUAGGGAGCCCUGGGCUGCCCAUACUCACCUGUGCCACAUCAAGCAAGAAGAGCUGCAGAGAGAUUAAAGUAAUGCAGGACUUGGACUCAGCCUGGGGCUUUGUCUGGUAGGCCACAAAUGCCGCUCUUCUGUUUUACUCACAAACAUAGGCCUGCUGCACAGAAUUUGGGACAGACACCUGUUGGAUCUUAGGAUAUUUAAAGAUGACAUGACUGUCUACAUAGAAAAUUCCGAAGAAUGAACCACAACAAAAAACUCCUGGGACUAAUAAGCAAUUACAGCAAGGUUGCAGGAUACAAGAUUAAUAUACAAAACCAGGUUUCCAACUAGCUGCUGUCCAAAUAUAGGUGAAGGAUUGACAUCUGUGUAUACUUUGGUAGCACAUAUGCUUUUUCACGAGAAAACUGUGAGCAAUUCUGAAAGACAAAGGGGAAACUGAAAGGAAGAAAAAGAAAGGAAAUGCAAAGGAGCCGAGGGGUAAAUAUCGAACAUGAAGUGGGGACAGAACCUUCAGCAGCACCCCCAAUUACUUCAGACUCUACCUUUUCGCUUGACCAUAAGGUAGGAGGCACUAAAGGUGACGGUAUCUAACAAUCAAGGCAAAUUGGAUGUCUCUAUUGUCUCAGGUGGGUAUUUUCUAUUUCUAAAGAUUUCUUAAACCUUCCUGGACUGAUCUUCAAAAUUAUUCCUUAGAAUUUAAAAAUGA